GACGAACGCUGGCGGCGUGCUUAACACAUGCAAGUCGAACGGCAAGGCCCUGCUUUUGUGGGGUGCUCGAGUGGCGAACGGGUGCGUAACACGUGAGUAACCUGCUCUUGACUUUGGGAUAACUUCAGGUAACUGGGGCUAAUAUCGGAUAGGAGCUCCUGCUGCAUGGUGGGGGUUGGAAAGUUUCGGCGGUUGGGGAUGGACUCGCGGCUUAUCAGCUUGUUGGUGGGGUAGUGGCUUACCAAGGCUUUGACGGGUAGCCGGCCUGAGAGGGUGACCGGCCACAUUGGGACUGAGAUACGGCCCAGACUCCUACGGGAGGCAACAGUGGGGAAUAUUGCACAAUGGGCGGAAGCCUGAUGCAGCAACGCCGCGUGCGGGAUGACGGCCUUCGGGUUGUAAACCGCUUUCGCCUGUGACGAAGCGUGAGUGACGGUAAUGGGUAAAGAAGCACCGGCUAACUACGUG
Molecule: ribosomal RNA, 468 nt
Filed under: uncultured bacterium
Lineage: Bacteria
Description: partial 16S ribosomal RNA
Rfam family: Bacterial small subunit ribosomal RNA
Source: RNAcentral